This 295-nucleotide unclassified non-coding RNA is filed under the name Hevea brasiliensis (rubber tree). Lineage: Eukaryota; Viridiplantae; Streptophyta; Magnoliopsida; Malpighiales; Euphorbiaceae. The record is from RNAcentral.
GUAGUAUUAACAAUAGCAUUUCCAUUUAAGUCUCUGUAUUUUGUUUAAGGAAUUGAAGGUCUUUCAUUUGCAACUGUACAGCUUCUUUUGGCAAGUUCUUUGGCUCUGGAAAAUUGACCUCAUCACUACCUUCAGCCACUUUCUUUGCCAUGUCUUUGACAAUCCUUUGUAUUUCUGCCUGCUCAACCGAUGGAAAAACAGCACUCAGCAUGACACACAGCAAUUCCUCAUCUUCCUUUUCUAUAGGAUUCCUCCCGAAGCAGCAUACAUAAAUUGCCUCAAGUGCCUUCUCAGC